UGACCUCAAAUCAGGUAGGACUACCCGCUGAACUUAAGCAUAUCAAUAAGCGGAGGAAAAGAAACUAACAAGGAUUCCCCUAGUAACUGCGAGUGAAGCGGGAAAAGCUCAAAUUUAAAAUCUGGUAGUCUUUGGCUGCCCGAGUUGUAAUCUGGAGAAGCGUCUUCCGCGCUGGACCGUGUACAAGUCUCCUGGAACGGAGCGUCAUAGAGGGUGAGAAUCCCGUC
RNAcentral lists this ribosomal RNA (227 nucleotides) under Phanerina mellea. RNAcentral's name for it is "partial 28S ribosomal RNA". It matches the Rfam family "Eukaryotic large subunit ribosomal RNA", at positions 1 to 225 of the family's 3401-position model. Lineage: Eukaryota; Fungi; Basidiomycota; Agaricomycetes; Polyporales; Phanerochaetaceae. The record is from RNAcentral.